GACGAACGCUGGCGGCGUGCUUAACACAUGCAAGUCGAACGGAAAGGCCCUGCUUGCAGGGUGCUCGAGUGGCGAACGGGUGAGUAACACGUGGGUGAUCUGCCCCUUACUUUGGGAUAAGCCUGGGAAACUGGGUCUAGUACUGGAUAGGACCAUGCUGUAGGUGGUGUGGUGGAAAGAUUAGUUUCGGUAAGGGAUGAGCUCGCGGCCUAUCAGCUUGUUGGUGGGGUAAUGGCCUACCAAGGCGUCGACGGGGAGCCGGCCUGAGGGGGUGGACGGCCACAUUGGGGCUGGGAACAGGCCCAGACCCCUACGGGGGGCGGGGGGGGGGGAUGUUGCAAAAUGGGGGACAGCCUGAGGCGGGGACCCCGGGGGGGGGAUGACGGGCUUUGGGUUUAAAACCCCUUUCAGCCCAGACGAAACCCUUGGUGGGGGGGGAGGGGGAAAAAAAGCCCCCGGUAACCACC
This 467-nucleotide ribosomal RNA is filed under the name uncultured bacterium. Its description in RNAcentral is "partial 16S ribosomal RNA". It matches the Rfam family "Bacterial small subunit ribosomal RNA", at positions 28 to 505 of the family's 1533-position model. The record is from RNAcentral.